RNAcentral lists this ribosomal RNA (1540 nucleotides) under Staphylococcus aureus M1289. RNAcentral's name for it is "16S ribosomal RNA". It matches the Rfam family "Bacterial small subunit ribosomal RNA". RNAcentral also lists the same sequence under 1 other name. Lineage: Bacteria; Bacillati; Bacillota; Bacilli; Caryophanales; Staphylococcaceae. The record is from RNAcentral.
AGAGUUUGAUCCUGGCUCAGGAUGAACGCUGGCGGCGUGCCUAAUACAUGCAAGUCGAGCGAACGGACGAGAAGCUUGCUUCUCUGAUGUUAGCGGCGGACGGGUGAGUAACACGUGGAUAACCUACCUAUAAGACUGGGAUAACUUCGGGAAACCGGAGCUAAUACCGGAUAAUAUUUUGAACCGCAUGGUUCAAAAGUGAAAGACGGUCUUGCUGUCACUUAUAGAUGGAUCCGCGCUGCAUUAGCUAGUUGGUAAGGUAACGGCUUACCAAGGCAACGAUGCAUAGCCGACCUGAGAGGGUGAUCGGCCACACUGGAACUGAGACACGGUCCAGACUCCUACGGGAGGCAGCAGUAGGGAAUCUUCCGCAAUGGGCGAAAGCCUGACGGAGCAACGCCGCGUGAGUGAUGAAGGUCUUCGGAUCGUAAAACUCUGUUAUUAGGGAAGAACAUAUGUGUAAGUAACUGUGCACAUCUUGACGGUACCUAAUCAGAAAGCCACGGCUAACUACGUGCCAGCAGCCGCGGUAAUACGUAGGUGGCAAGCGUUAUCCGGAAUUAUUGGGCGUAAAGCGCGCGUAGGCGGUUUUUUAAGUCUGAUGUGAAAGCCCACGGCUCAACCGUGGAGGGUCAUUGGAAACUGGAAAACUUGAGUGCAGAAGAGGAAAGUGGAAUUCCAUGUGUAGCGGUGAAAUGCGCAGAGAUAUGGAGGAACACCAGUGGCGAAGGCGACUUUCUGGUCUGUAACUGACGCUGAUGUGCGAAAGCGUGGGGAUCAAACAGGAUUAGAUACCCUGGUAGUCCACGCCGUAAACGAUGAGUGCUAAGUGUUAGGGGGUUUCCGCCCCUUAGUGCUGCAGCUAACGCAUUAAGCACUCCGCCUGGGGAGUACGACCGCAAGGUUGAAACUCAAAGGAAUUGACGGGGACCCGCACAAGCGGUGGAGCAUGUGGUUUAAUUCGAAGCAACGCGAAGAACCUUACCAAAUCUUGACAUCCUUUGACAACUCUAGAGAUAGAGCCUUCCCCUUCGGGGGACAAAGUGACAGGUGGUGCAUGGUUGUCGUCAGCUCGUGUCGUGAGAUGUUGGGUUAAGUCCCGCAACGAGCGCAACCCUUAAGCUUAGUUGCCAUCAUUAAGUUGGGCACUCUAAGUUGACUGCCGGUGACAAACCGGAGGAAGGUGGGGAUGACGUCAAAUCAUCAUGCCCCUUAUGAUUUGGGCUACACACGUGCUACAAUGGACAAUACAAAGGGCAGCGAAACCGCGAGGUCAAGCAAAUCCCAUAAAGUUGUUCUCAGUUCGGAUUGUAGUCUGCAACUCGACUACAUGAAGCUGGAAUCGCUAGUAAUCGUAGAUCAGCAUGCUACGGUGAAUACGUUCCCGGGUCUUGUACACACCGCCCGUCACACCACGAGAGUUUGUAACACCCGAAGCCGGUGGAGUAACCUUUUAGGAGAUAGCCGUCGAAGGUGGGACAAAUGAUUGGGGUGAAGUCGUAACAAGGUAGCCGUAUCGGAAGGUGCGGCUGGAUCACCU